GUUUCGAGGCGAGUGGUUGCGAUUUUCCUCAUGAUGACAAUAGCCGAUUUUAGCGAUCAACUCUUCGGAUUUCAAGAUUCAUUAUUCGAAAAUUCCAACGGACGUCUCGAAUUCACAGGUAACAAUUACAAAUCCCUCUGGCCAGGAAACGGAAAACCUGGAUUAUGGAUGAACUCCGCAUCAAGAAUGGGAGCAAUAUACUCCCUGAUCGUGAGAGAGGAAUCCAUUUUAAUCGCAAAUAGAAAAAGAAACGGCGAAUUAGGGCUGAAAGCAGAGAGAGACGAAGAUUUAGAGCUGGUAA
RNAcentral lists this unclassified non-coding RNA (301 nucleotides) under Hevea brasiliensis (rubber tree). The record is from RNAcentral. Lineage: Eukaryota; Viridiplantae; Streptophyta; Magnoliopsida; Malpighiales; Euphorbiaceae.